This 410-nucleotide ribosomal RNA is filed under the name Colletotrichum nymphaeae. RNAcentral's name for it is "eukaryotic LSU rRNA". The stretch from base 57 to 210 matches the Rfam family "5.8S ribosomal RNA". Lineage: Eukaryota; Fungi; Ascomycota; Sordariomycetes; Glomerellales; Glomerellaceae. The record is from RNAcentral.
GCAGAUAUACUUAUUUAACAGGAGAGCACUUCUGCGUGGCACAAGCGAAUAAUUAAAACUUUUAACAACGGAUCUCUUGGUUCUGGCAUCGAUGAAGAACGCAGCGAAAUGCGAUAAGUAAUGUGAAUUGCAGAAUUCAGUGAAUCAUCGAAUCUUUGAACGCACAUUGCGCUCGCCAGCAUUCUGGCGAGCAUGCCUGUUCGAGCGUCAUUUCAACCCUCAAGCACCGCUUGGUUUUGGGGCCCCACGGCACACGUGGGCCCUUAAAGGUAGUGGCGGACCCUCCCGGAGCCUCCUUUGCGUAGUAACUAACGUCUCGCACUGGGAUUCGGAGGGACUCUUGCCGUAAAACCCCCAAAUUUUUUACAGGUUGACCUCGGAUCAGGUAGGAAUACCCGCUGAACUUAAGC